GAUGAACGCUGGCGGCGUGCCUAAUACAUGCAAGUCGAGCGAACGGACGAGAAGCUUGCUUCUCUGAUGUUAGCGGCGGACGGGUGAGUAACACGUGGAUAACCUCCCUAUAAGACUGGGAUAACUUCGGGAAACCGGAGCUAAUACCGGAUAAUAUUUUGAACCGCAUGGUUCAAAAGUGAAAGACGGUCUUGCUGUCACUUAUAGAUGGUUCCGCGCUGCAUUAGCUAGUUGGUAAGGUAACGGCUUACCAAGGCAACGAUGCAUAGCCGACCUGAGAGGGUGAUCGGCCACCCGGGAGCUGAGACACGGUCCAGACUACUAAGGGAGGCAGCAGUAGGGAAUCUUCCGCAAUGGGCGAAAGCCUGACGGAGCAACGCCGCGUGAGUGAUGAAGGUCUUCGGAUCGUAAAACUCUGUUAUUAGGGAAGAACAUAUGUGUAAGUAAAUGUGCACAUCUUGACGGUACCUAAUCAGAAAGCCACGGCUAACUACGUG
This 497-nucleotide ribosomal RNA is filed under the name uncultured bacterium. RNAcentral describes it as "partial 16S ribosomal RNA". It matches the Rfam family "Bacterial small subunit ribosomal RNA", at positions 28 to 507 of the family's 1533-position model. The record is from RNAcentral.